GAUGAACGCUGGCGGCGUGCCUAAUACAUGCCAGUCGAGCGAACAGACCAUGCUCUUGCUCCUCUGACGUUAGCGGCGGACGUGUGAGUAACACGUGUAUACCCUACCUAUCAUUCUGGUAUAACUUCGUGACACCGGAGCUAAUACCGUAUAAUAUCUUGAACCGCAUGGUUCAUUGGUGAAAGACGGUUUUGCUGUCACUUCUAGCUGGAUCCCGGCUGCUUUAGCUAGUUGGUAAGGUAAAGGCUUACCAAGGCAACGAUGCGUAGCCGACCUGCGGGAGUGAUAGGCCACAUGGGAACUGAGACACGGUCAAGAGGACUAAGAGAGGGAGCAGUAGGGAAUGUGCGGCAGUGGGCGAAAGCAUGACGGAGCAAGGCCAAGGGAGUGAUGAAGGUCUUCGGAGCGGAAAACUCGGUUAUUAGGGAAGAACAAAUGUGGAAGUAACUAUGCACGGCUUGACGGUACCUAAUCAGAAAGCCACGGCUAACUACGUG
Molecule: ribosomal RNA, 497 nt
Filed under: uncultured bacterium
Lineage: Bacteria
Description: partial 16S ribosomal RNA
Rfam family: Bacterial small subunit ribosomal RNA
Source: RNAcentral